UGGUAAUGAUGGCAGAGAGGUCACACCCGUUCCCAUACCGAACACGGAAGUUAAGCUCUCUAGCGCCGAUGGUAGUUGGGGCCUUGUCCCUGUGAGAGUAGGACGUUGCCAGGCA
This 115-nucleotide ribosomal RNA is filed under the name Bacillus cereus m1293. The record is from RNAcentral. Lineage: Bacteria; Bacillati; Bacillota; Bacilli; Caryophanales; Bacillaceae.